UGACUCACCCUGUGAAUUUCAUGUUAGACAUUAUUGACAGAUAACUCGAGAAUUUAACUACAAGUGCAUGGGCUAUUCCUCCAGUUUUUAAUAUACUUUAUGAUCGUACUGCAUGUUUUCACUAAAAAUGGUUCAUACAAUAACGCUUGUCAUAAAAUUAUUGAUAUGAAGAGAAAAAUAAAUAAUGAAAAAGAAAUCAAAACAAAUAGAUAUAAUAAUAUUAAAAUUAUAAUUUUUAAAAGACAAUAUCAUAUUUGGAGACUAAUAUGGCAAACACAAUAUCCAUAAUGUCUAAUGCGUUACGAAAUGUUGUGAGCAAAAAACGCAUACGAUACAAGGAAAAAGGAUUUAAUUUGGAUCUUUCAUACAUUUGCCCGAAAAUAAUUGCGAUGGGAUAUCCUGCUCCGGACAUUAUUGAAGGCAUUUACAGAAAUCGCCUAGAGGAUGUUUAUAAAUUUAUGGAAGAAAAUCAUGGAGGGCAUUACAGAAUAUACAAUCUGUGUCAAGAACGGAGUUAUGACAUUAAUAAAUUUCAUGGGAAUGUUGCAACAUACCCGUUUGAGGAUCACAAUCCUCCUCCUAUUGUACUGAUGCAACGUUUUUGCCAAGACGUUGAAUCCUGGCUUAAUAGAGAUCCGUUAAAUGUCGUAGCUGUGCAUUGUAAAGCUGGAAAGGGAAGAACCGGUACUAUGAUAUGUGCAUACUUGGUUCAUAGUAAGUUCUUGAAUACAGCAGAUGAAGCUUUGGCUUUUUAUGAUGAAAAACGUACAAUAGAUCGGAAAGGUGUUACAAUUCCAUCUCAACGUAGAUAUGUUCAGUAUUAUUCAAAUUUAAUCCCAGAUAUACAUUAUGAAGUAGUCAGUCUUUACAUUUCUGAAAUCCGAUUUGCUGAGGCAAAUUACCUGCAUAAUCUUGGUACAGUGCAAUGUUCAAUUUCCGACAGGCAAGAGUCUGCAUCAGAGAAACUUAAGGCGCAUGAACUGAAAACAUGGCCAAUUGAUUUCCAAAAAACUUCAAUAUUGGACUUAACUAGUUCGCCUUUGAUGGUUUCUGGUGAUAUCAAAGUCGAACUUACUCAAAAGUCAUCAAGAAAGAUGAUUUGCAGUUUUUGGGUUAAUACAUUCUUUAUGCAAAAUGAUGCGGCUCGCAUUCUUGAUGGAAAUACCGUAAAGUUUAUGCAUACCUUAAAUAAAUCCGAGAUUGAUGGUGCACAUAAAGACAAAGACCAUAAAUCGUUUUCGGAGGACUUUAAGAUCUCUCUCGUAUUUAUAAAUGAAGAAAAACGCUCUGACAGUAUAAUCGCUGAAUCCUCAAUAGAUAACAGUAGGAGCAAUAAUCAAAGCUCAGAAAAUCUUCCUGGUGAUAAUAAUACGAAUCUAAGCAGUGAGGGUUCAGUUUUAAACUCUCCGUCCUCAAGUCGUUUGUUUGAAGGUCCAUUUCAUACCAGUGAUGAAAGAAGUGAGGGGCAAUCUCACCUAACAGCACAGAGCAGAAAACUAACUAAAAAUCAACAUAAAAAAUCAACUAUCUCAAAAUAUCCUGCAAUGGCAUCUAAACGCAAACAAUCCUCUUCAAAAUGCCUACUAGGUGCUAAUAAUACCUCGUCAGGCAAGGACAACAAAAAACAGCAUAUUUUUAAUCAACCGUCCCGUAAACAAAUCGAAAUGGUGCCUAAUAAUUGGCCCAGUAACAUCUAUGGAAAAGCCUCAGAGGGUCUACAUAUAUUUGAUCGAUGUAAUAUUUCCAAUAUUUCUGGCGGAGAACAGAAUUCACACAAUACUUACAAACGAUCAUCUUCUGAUUCAAAUCAAAGUGGUGAAGAAGGAGACGAGGAUUGGGAAUCCGCCAUACGACGUGUCACCAAAUCAUGCGAUUUCAUCGUCCACCGCACUUUAAAUGCUAUGAAAUAAAUUAAAAAUAAUCCAAAGAACAGAACGUCUCAUUUAAAAGCUUAGGUUAUGUAGCAGCCAAAAUUGUGGACUUAAUAUCACUAUUGAUCUUAAUUUUCAUAGCUAUGGAGGUAGCUACGUCCGGCACUACGUAAGGAGUCAUAUACCAAAGUGUUCUACUGUAAGAACUGAAACGUCAGAUUCAUCAGUAUAUGUGAUAUUUAUCCGGAGUGAUAUCUACAUCAACCAUGACAAGAGGUGAUAACUCACCACUCCACACUUUUUGGCUGCCAUUAUGUUAUUUAUUUAUUUUUAAAAUGUAAAAUACAACAAGCUUGUACAGUAUAAAUUGUUAAAAAAAAAAAAAAAAAAAAAAAAAAAAAACAGUUAAUUGCACAUUCAUUGUUUUAGUCUAAAUUCAAAUGAUAGGAGUGAAACUUUAAGCUCAAAGGAUCUUGCCAUUGUAUAUUUUUAUACUUCGUUCCUAUAAAUAAAGGCAAAAUGGUAUUGCACAGAUAUGACAUUGAAAAUAAGUUUGUUUAAGUCAUGUCGAAUAUUAAUAUAAGCCUAUGAAGCUGAUUUCUAUGCGAUAGAAACGUUUCCAAGCACUUAAUCGUCAUUUUAGAAAGCGGUUUACAAUUAAAGUGUCGAUUGCUGAUACGCAUACUAAAAUUUCAUUGUGUAUUAUGCAGAUUAUUAUUGGAUUGCCUUUGGAUUGUGUUUUGUCAUUAUAUUUUUGUUUUUACUUAUUAGGAUUGUCGUUGGCUUGUUUUAAUAUUAUUUGAAAAAAUAUUGCUUUGUUUAGUAUUAGUAAUACUUAAAAGACAUAAAUGUGAUUUAUUAAUUUUGUAUUUUGACUGCAAGAAAUUUGAUACCUUAUAGAAAAUAAAUUAAAAAUGGCACCGUGGUUAUUGUUUCAUAGUGGAAUAGAAUAGAAGAGAAAACGCAAAAUACAGUCGAUAAAAUUAUGAUUGUCAACAAUUCUGAAAAUUCUGCUUACAUAAGAAUUGACUAGAUACGUUUGGAACCUGAAGCAAAUUAAUGAUUGUCAAACUUUCUAAUAACUAGCGAUAUUGUCACUGCUGUAAUUAGUUAUAUUGUUCUACGCUUUUUGAAAAAAGAUCAAUACCAUCCUAGAUUACCAUCCAAAAAAUCUUGUUUAAUGAUUUUUAUAAUGGAUAGUCACAUUUAAUGUCUUACUCAUAUAUGUUUUACCUGAUUAAUAACAUAAUAAAUUUGUGGGUUAACUUCGAAGUAUAAUGCAUCGUUGCCACUUCAUCUCAUCUGAA
RNA transcript from Drosophila mojavensis, 3178 nucleotides. It is a transcript of the gene named phosphatidylinositol 3,4,5-trisphosphate 3-phosphatase and dual-specificity protein phosphatase PTEN, with no coding region annotated. NCBI's taxonomy places the organism in Eukaryota, Metazoa, Arthropoda, Insecta, Diptera, Drosophilidae. The record is from RefSeq and is a predicted model, not a curated record. The transcript is spliced from 13 exons.